GAUGAACGCUGGCGGCGUGCCUAACACAUGCAAGUCGAGCGAAGCGCUUGAAUCUGAUUCUUCGGAUGAGGAUUCUUGUGACUGAGCGGCGGACGGGUGAGUAACGCGUGGGCAACCUGCCUUACACAGGGGGAUAACAGUUAGAAAUGACUGCUAAUACCGCAUAAGACCGCAGUACCGCAUGGUACAGCGGUAAAAACUCCGGUGGUGUAAGAUGGGCCCGCGUCUGAUUAGGUAGUUGGCGGGGUAACGGCCCACCAAGCCGACGAUCAGUAGCCGACCUGAGAGGGUGACCGGCCACAUUGGGACUGAGACACGGCCCAG
Molecule: ribosomal RNA, 324 nt
Filed under: uncultured bacterium
Lineage: Bacteria
Description: bacterial SSU rRNA
Rfam family: Bacterial small subunit ribosomal RNA
Source: RNAcentral